GAGGAGUUAGUUAAGAAUAACAUUAUCUUGUCAAGAUAAAAUCACCGGUUAGAUCCCGGUACUCCUCU
RNAcentral lists this transfer RNA (68 nucleotides) under Hoplobatrachus rugulosus (rugose frog). RNAcentral's name for it is "tRNA-Asp". It matches the Rfam family "tRNA". From Rfam's summary of the family: Transfer RNA (tRNA) molecules are approximately 80 nucleotides in length. Their secondary structure includes four short double-helical elements and three loops (D, anti-codon, and T loops). Lineage: Eukaryota; Metazoa; Chordata; Amphibia; Anura; Dicroglossidae. RNAcentral also lists the same sequence under 1 other name. The record is from RNAcentral.